This 460-nucleotide ribosomal RNA is filed under the name uncultured bacterium. RNAcentral describes it as "partial 16S ribosomal RNA". It matches the Rfam family "Bacterial small subunit ribosomal RNA", at positions 338 to 795 of the family's 1533-position model. The record is from RNAcentral.
CCUACGGGUGGCAGCAGUGAGGAAUAUUGGUCAAUGGGCGCGAGCCUGAACCAGCCAAGUAGCGUGAAGGAUGACUGCCCUACGGGUUGUAAACUUCUUUUAUCAAGGAAUAAAGUGAGGCACGUGUGCCUUUUUGUAUGUACUUUAUGAAUAAGGAUCGGCUAACUCCGUGCCAGCAGCCGCGGUAAUACGGAGGAUCCGAGCGUUAUCCGGAUUUAUUGGGUUUAAAGGGGGCGUAGGCGGGUUGUUAAGUCAGUUGUGAAAGUCUACGGCUCAACCGUCGAAUGGCAAUUGAUACUGGCAGUCUUGAGUACAGUUGAGGUAGGCGGAAUUCGUGGUGUAGCGGUGAAAUGCUUAGAUAUCACGAAGAACUCCGAUUGCGAAGGCAGCUUACUAAACUGCCACUGACAUUGAGGCACGAAAGUGUGGGUAUCAAACAGGAUUAGACACCCGAGUAGUC